This 4318-nucleotide long non-coding RNA is filed under the name Pan troglodytes (chimpanzee). RNAcentral describes it as "lncRNA (ENSPTRG00000053837.1)". Lineage: Eukaryota; Metazoa; Chordata; Mammalia; Primates; Hominidae. The record is from RNAcentral.
AUGGAAGGAGGCGGGGGAAGCGGCGACAAAACCACAGGGGUAUUGGCCGGUUUUUUCGGAGCCGGCGGAGCAGGUUACUCGCACGCGGAUUUGGCUGGCGUCCCGCAGUCAGGACCUCGUUCUGUCACCCAUGUUGGGGUGCGGUGGCAUGAUUAUAGUUCACUGAAGCCUGGCACUCCUGAGCUCAAACAAUCCUCCCCUCUAAGCCUCCUAAGUAGCUGGGACUCUAGUAACUGGUAUGAACCCUCUGUCUCUUUAUUUAAAUGUGGAUCCACGAUACCUCGUGCAGGUAAGAUUAAGAUUUUACUAGUUUGGUGCCUACCUGUAAUCCCAGCUGCUUGAGAGGCUGAGGCACGAGAAUCGCUUGAACCCUGGAGACAAAGGUUGCAGUGAGCUGAGAACACCCCACUACACUCCAGCCUGGGCAACAGAGUAAGACCCUAUCUCUAAAUAAAUAAAACUAGACAUAAAAGGGACUUCAGCCUGUUAAAUGCCAUCUACAGAAUAUCCAAAGCUAACAUAAUUUAAUGGUGAAAGACUGAAUGCCUUCUCCCUAAGAUCAGGAACAAAAUAAGUAUAUUUACUCUCAUUUAUAUUCAGCAUUGUCUGGCCAGGGCAAUUAGUGAAGUACAUUAAAUGGCAUUCAAGUUGAAAAAGAAGUUAAACUAUCUGUUUACAAAUGACAUGAUCUUAUCUAUAGAAAAUCACAAGGGAAAUCACAAAAAUCUGUUAAAACUAAUGAUCGAGUUCAGCAAGUUGCAGAAUACAAGUUCAAUAUACAUAAAUCAAAUAUAUUUCUAGACAGUUGCAAUGAACACUACAAAAAUGAAAUUACAAAAAACAGUUCAUUACCAAUAACAUCAAAAAGCAAAUACUUAGAAAUAAAUGGACCAGGUGCAAAACAUAUUCUGAAAACUAUAAAACAUUAUUGAAAUUAAGUGGAAAGACACAUGCUAUGAUCCUGAAAAUUUUAAUAUUAAAAUGGCAGUGCUCACCAAAUUAACCAACAGAUUUAGUGCAGUGCCUGUCAAAAUCCCAGCUGGCUUUUUUGCAGAAAUUGACAAGCUUUUAUCCUAAAAUUCAUAUGGAAAUUCAGGGGACAUAGAAUGGCCAAUGACCUUGAGAAAAUAGAUUGGAGGACUUGAACUUGCCAAUUUCAAAACUUUCUACAGAGCCACAUCAUGAUAGUAACAUAAGAAUAAAUCCAUAGUUAAUGAAAUACAGAGUCCAGAAGAAAGACCUUAUAUAAUAUACGCAGUCACUUGCUUUUCAACAAGGAUGCCAAAAUAGUUAAGUCAGGGGAGACGUUAGGACAACUGGAAUCCAUAUGCAUAAGAAUGAAGUUGAACCCUAACCCUGCACCAUAUGCAAAAUGUUACCACCAAAUGGAUUAAAGACUUAAAUGUAAACUGAAGCAGUCAAACUCUUAGAAGAAAUCAUGGGCACAAGUAGUUGUGACUUUGGAUUAGACAGUGAUUUCUUGGAUGUGACACCAAAAGCACAAGUGGUAAAAAGAAAGUUGAUAAAUUGUAUUUAAUCAGAAUUUUAAAAUUUUGUGGUUUAGACAAUACCAACAAGAAUGGAGGCCAGGUGCAGUGGCUCACACCUGUAAUCCCAGCACUUUGGGAGGCUGAGGCGGGUGGAUCACCUGAGGUCAGGAGUUCGAGACCAGCCUGGCCAACAUGGUGAAACCCCAUCUCUACUAAAAAAUACAAAAAUUAGCCAGGCGUGGUGCUGGGCGCCUGUAAUCCCAGCUACUUGGGAGGCUGAGGCAGGAGAAUCACUUGAACCUGAGAGGCAGAGGUUGUGGUGAGCCGAGAUCGCACCACCCGCACUUCAGCCUGGGCAACAGAGUAAGACUCGGUCUCAAAAAAAAAUAAAAAAAUAAAUAAAGAAUGGAAAAAGUCCUGGCGCAGUGGCUCGUGCCUAUAAUCCCAACACUUUUAAGAGGCUGAGGCGGGAAGAUCACUUGAGCCCAGGAGUUUGAGACCUGCCUGGCCAACAUAAGAAGAUCCCAUCUCUGCAAAAAAAUACAAAAAUUAGUGGGGUGUGGUGGUAUGCACCUGUAGUCCCAGCUACUAGGGAGGCUGAGGUGGGAGGAUCACUUGAGUCCAGCAGGUCAAGUCUCAGUAAGCAUAAUCAAACCACUUAACUCCAGCCUGGGUGACAGAGAGAGACUUUGUCUCAAAAGGAAAAAAAUAGGGAAAAGACAAUCCACAGACUGAGAGAAAAUAUUUGCAUAUUAUGUAUCUGAUAAGGAAUUUAUAUCUAGAAUAUUUAAUUUUUUAACUCUUGAAACAUUAAUAAAAAAUAAUUACAAAAUGGGCAAAGGAUUUGAGUAGACAUUUCUCUAUGAAGAUAUACAGAUGUCUAAUAAUGACAUGAAAGCUGGUCAGUAACAUUAAUUAGAGAAAUAAAACCACAAUGAGAUGCCUCUUUACACCCACGGGGAUCACUAUAAUCAAAAAGAAAAUAACAAGUAUUGUUGAGGAUGUAGAGAAAUUGGACCUCUGUACAUUGCUGGUGGGAAUGUAAAAUGAUACAGCUGCUUUUAGAAACAGUCUGGCAGUUUCUCAAAGUGUUAAAAAUAGAGUUACCUUAUGACUGGCAAUUUCACUUGCGUAUACUCCAUACUCAAGAGAAUUGAAAACCUCUGUGCACAUAAGUUGUAAAUGAAUGUUGCUAGUAGCAUUAUUCAUAAUAACCAAAAAAUGGAAACCAAAUGUUUAUCCACUGAUGAAUGGAUAAAAAAGUGUGGCAUAUCCAUACAAAUGGAAUAUUAUUUGGUAAUAAAAAAAGAACUAUUAAAUUAUGCUACAAUAUAAAUGAACCUUUAAAACUUCCUAAAUGAAAGAAACCAGUCACAAGAGACCACAUAUUGUGUGGUUCCAUUUAUAUGGAAUGUCCAGAAUAGGCAAAUAUAUGGACAAGAAAGUAGAUUAGUAGCUGCCAAGGGUUGGGAGUAAAUGGGCAGUGACUGCUAAUGGGUAUGUGAUUUUUUUGGGGGGUGAUGAAGAUGCUUUAAAAUUUAUUGUAGUCUUGGUUGCACAACUCCGAAUAUACUAAAAACCACUGAAUUGUACACUCUAAGUAAGUAAAUUGUAUGGUACAUGAGAUACAUAUCAGUAACUCCAUUUUCUCUCUCUCUUUUUUUUCUAAGAGACAAAGUCUCACUCUGUCUCCCAGACUCGAGUUGCAGUAGCAGCAUCAUAGCUCACUGUAACCUCAAACUCCUAGGCUCAAGCGGUCCUUCUGCCUCAUCCUCCUAGACAGCUGGGGCUGCAGAUGAACACCACCAUGCCUGGCUAAUUCUUUUUUUUUUACAUUCUUUGUAGAGAUGUGAUCUGACUUGGUUGCCCAGGCUGGUCUCUUAACUCCUGGCCUCAAGUGGUCCUUCUGCCUUGGCCUCCCGAAGUGCUGGAAUUACAGGCAUGAGCCACCAUGCCUGGCCUUUUUUUUUUUUUUUUUUUUUUUUUAAGAGUUAUGGUUGGAACCUUUUAUUUCAGAGUUGAAUCACUAACGGCAUCUGACAGCUGCUGCAUUUCUUGUUUGCGUUAAGUGUUCAAAUUGAAGCAAGUUGAUGGUUCGGACCUUGCCAAUUUAAAGCUUCAUUAUUUUUGAAAUGUUUUUCAAAUGUUAUAUUUUAACAUUGGGUGUUCAUUGAUUUUUUUACUUUAAAAGUACUCCUUUGUCAGUUUACUCAAAGUUUCAAAACUAGUUGCAUGUAUUUUGCUUUAAUGUUGAAUCUACACUUAGAGGUUGUACUCUAGAUCUAGUUAAAAUUCAAUAUCAUUGUGGCCCUGCAUUGCUAGGUGGGGCUAAUUAAGGUUAGACAUAAAAUAUUUCAUAUCCCCCCAAAAACUUGUGAAUUCAUUCUUCAUCAUGAACAUUUAAUCUUCCAUUGGAAUUCUAGAGGGACUUCAGACUUUAAAAAGUGUUUUAUAAACCUCAUCUGUUAUUGGAAAUAAUUCUGGAGACCUUAAAUUUAAAGAUAAUAGAAAUUACAUUUUGUAAAACUUUUAUUUAUACUUUUGAAGGUUAGAGACAUCUUAAAUAAAAUAGUACCUGUCAACUCACCAUGUCGUGACUUUGGCAACAACUUUUUUUUUUUCUUGUUUAAUAGAAGACACAGGGUCUCACUGUGUUGUCCAGGCUGGUCUGGAACUCCUGGGUUCAAGCAGUCCUCCCACCUUGGCCUCCCAAAGUGCUGGGAUUACAAGCAUGAGCUACUGUGCCUAGCCAACUUUUAUCUGAUACAGUAUUGUAGUUUCUCUCACUAAUGCUUUUGUAUUGUCACUACUCUUAUAUCCUCAUUGAA